This 74-nucleotide transfer RNA is filed under the name Lachnospiraceae bacterium. RNAcentral describes it as "tRNA-Arg". It matches the Rfam family "tRNA". From Rfam's summary of the family: Transfer RNA (tRNA) molecules are approximately 80 nucleotides in length. Their secondary structure includes four short double-helical elements and three loops (D, anti-codon, and T loops). Further hydrogen bonds mediate the characteristic L-shaped molecular structure. tRNAs have two regions of fundamental functional importance: the anti-codon, which is responsible for specific mRNA codon recognition, and the 3' end, to which the tRNAs corresponding amino acid is attached (by aminoacyl-tRNA synthetases). tRNAs cope with the degeneracy of the genetic code in two manners: having more than one tRNA (with a specific anti-codon) for a particular amino acid; and 'wobble' base-pairing, i.e. permitting non-standard base-pairing at the 3rd anti-codon position. The record is from RNAcentral. Lineage: Bacteria; Bacillati; Bacillota; Clostridia; Lachnospirales; Lachnospiraceae.
GCAUCUGUAGCUCAGUGGAUAGAGCAGCGGUUUCCGGAGCCGCGUUGUCGGGGGUUCGACUCCCUUCAGGUGCA